Molecule: long non-coding RNA, 3331 nt
Organism: Felis catus (domestic cat)
Lineage: Eukaryota; Metazoa; Chordata; Mammalia; Carnivora; Felidae
Exons: 8
Source: RefSeq, a predicted model, not a curated record
GUCUGUGCCAGCAUGGUGGGGGGACAAGGACGGGGGAAGGACCCGUUUUUGCUAUCAGCAGCCCUGCUAAUUGCUUUCCGAUUUUGCUGUAAUUGGGCAAGUCACCUGGCCUCCCAUCUCUCCUUAGGUAAAAUGAGGGUAUUGGGUGAGCCUCUAAACUCCUUCAAGGUGUGCUGUCAUAUUUGAUAGAUGUAACCCCAGCACAAAGAAGUUGACUGACUUUGGGCCGCUAACAUAUUUCUUACAUACCGAUCACAAACGUGAUUUGACCAAACCCCCUUCGACUCAAUAACCAUCUCAAGGAGAUUGGAUCUAGUGACCCGGAAGCCACUAUUAUAGUUGACUUCCCCUUGGGCUCCGUGCUGUCUCGUCUGACCUCCCCACACCCUCACUUUACUUGACCAGGCUUUGCUGUUACUUGCUUCUUGAAGGCUCCCAAAGUUCAAACCAGUUCAUCAGAAAGAUUCCUGGGCUCACAAGACUUCAUGGAAAUGAAAGCUUUUCACUCCAGCCUGGGCAGGAUCAGACUGACCCGGGUGAGACUGUUCUGAGUGAGUGGUACGUGUCUAUGAUCUGCCCGACAGCGUGGGAUGUACUUCAGAUUUCAGUGCGGUGACUACUGACCUAUUUCUCGCUUGGCCGGGAGUUACACAAGCCCAUGUGUGCAUUGGAAACAGGACAAUCAACGUAGCGCAGAUCUUCUAUGUGGAAAAGGGUGACAAUGGACACUUCCUGUGCUCAGGAAGCACAUCAGCUGGGAGACUCGGAGUGGCCGUAGCCCUGAAUUUCCGCGUGGAUUCAGCAUGAAACCAAAUGUACAUUACAGCUGCGGUGAUGAGAGCGAAGCUUUUACCAUUUGUUUUGGACUCCCGAGCUGAUAUGAAUGGGAGCGGGCAGCUGUGGAUGGCCAAAGCAGGGCCACUGGAAGUAAAGCUGGCAUUGACAAGGGCAGACAGGUGCAGAAGGAAACCUGGUUUUGGAUGACAUUGGUCCCUGGACUGGAGAGAGCUCAAGCCCUGGCUGCAAAUCGUUUGCCUUGAAGAGACAUAAAUGAGAACCACAACUGCCAGAAAAUAAGGUAUCUGAAUGAACAACCUUGAAAGCUUUUGAUUGCCCAACAAGAGACUGGAAAAGGCCUUUCUAGAAGCAAGAGAGAAGAGGAGCUAUGUGGGAUCCUAUGAAGGCUCAAACAGAAGCGUAGAUACCAGCGUCCAACUCAAAGGAGUUGGCCAGGAGUGGCAGGAAGUUGUUGGAGAGGGUGCUUGGAUGGUCAUUCCUCCUCUCAGCCAGUAGUGAGCCUUUUGACGCUGCUGACUGCGACUGCUGAUAAGCUGCAUAAGGCAGGAGGUCAACAAUCCGGAGACUGCUCUUAAUUAUUAAAGGAUCAACACGUCUUAAUGCACGCAUCCACCGGGGAGGCCAGAGAACUGGGGCUCGGGGAGAGAAGUCUUCUCCUUCUCUUUAAAUUGGCAAAAACAAACACACGAAGCAAUUGUCGGGGGUGGGUGGGGGGGGGAGCUAAAGGGUUGCCCCUCUCUCCUAACUCUAAAUUUGGAACCGAGAAUAUUGGCACCUCUUCCUCUCCAGACUCAAGCUGCCCUGUCAUCGAGGAGUGGGUUUGCAGAGGUGAUCUCCACUUAACGAACUGAACCUUGACUCGGCCCCACGGCAAGGAGCGCUGGGACCCAACAGCCCAGGGCCCCAGGGGAGCUUUGCGCGACUACUCUGCGUUAGUGCCUUCUCUUGUCCUAAAUUAAGCUCCUUGACAUAUAAUUAUCCAUCCCACACACUGAACCUAUCUCCAAGGUAAAUGUUUCUGCUCGGCGAACACUGGUUCACAGGAUAAAAACAAUCCUCCUCUGUCUCCUCCCUGUCACCACCGCCAGCCCCACGGAUGAGUCCUUGCUGGGUGCCCUGGGCUCAGGGCUGGGCUGCCUGCUGUGGCGAUCACACGAAGCUACAGGUGAGCCCGAGGAAGUGGUGAUUGUGCCUUUUCUCCCUCCUUUUUUCUUUCUUUCCACAAUUGGAGGGAAAGGCGUCGGGACUGGUCAAGAGCGAUGCAGGUGGAUUUAGUACGAAAAGAAUCAGGACACCAUUCCGUUGCAAUACUUGACAACGUUGCAGAGGAAAAGGGCUUCAUAAAAGCAGCGGCCGGGUGGGUUAUCUCCAAACGCGUGUGGCUCCCGAGAUGAGGACACCAUCCCGAAAAUUUGACCGCAAUGCCUAUAAGCUGAAGUACCUGUUCCAGAUCUGUGCCAGAUGAGGUUUCGGGGGGGGGGGCGGGUCUGCAUGAGGACCAGCGAGUUCAUGGCAGCUCCCAGGCUUAAUUAUCAUGGUGUUGCUCUCAGUAGCAGAGCAAGCGAGGAACAGAGACAAUUCACUCGGGAAGAACAUGGCAAUGUUAAGCAAAUGGCCAAGAAACAUGGAAAAAUGGGCUCAAACAAACUCAUAAGCCUGAAAUUCAAAUGACAGCCCUCUAUGUUUAUCUAUCAGGUUUGCAAAGAGAAAAGAAACAACCAUACCCUGUGUUGGCAAAGGGUACCGGGGAGUUACUAGAAUCAGACUGGUUUAUGCUUCUAGGCUCUUCCUCUUACUAGCAAAGGGAACUUGGGCAUGUCAUUUAUGUUCUCUAAGACUAUUCUCCUCAUCUGCAAGAUGCAGAUAAUAUUAGUAACCACCUCCAAGGGGGUUUGGGAGAUUUAUGUAAAAUCAUGCUUAUAAAGUGCUUAGUGCAUCAUCUGACACAUAGUAAAUGCCCAGUUAAUAUUCAAAUUAUAAUCAUUAUUGGAAGCUAGAAACCCAACACACUGAUAGGGGAGUAUAAACUGGUAAAACCCUAUGUAAUAAAAACUUGACAUGUAUGUUAAAGCCUUAAUGGUGUGUAUACGCCUGACUUAAGCACUUCACUUCUAGAAAUCUAUUUUGAGGAAGCAGGACACAAUCAUGUGUUUAUGAGGAUAUCCUUCAUGGUAUUUAUGACAAAAAUGGAAGCAAUUUAAAUACCCAAUGGUAGUUAAAAAUGAAUAGUAGUUAGAAAGUAGUAAUUAAGAAGUAGUUAAAAAUUAAGUUCCAGUCGCUAUCUCCAAGAGAUGCAGAGCAUAUUUUUGAGAAAUACUUGAUGGUGGAGAGAAAUGAUACGCUGUGAAAAUAAUGGUUUUCAAUUAAUGGAUUCCCUAUUAUUUGUAUUUUUUAUUAAUACUUGCUUGUCAUUUUAAAUUUGUCUGUAAUCAGUCAACAAAUACUUUUUUGGGCAUCUGCUGCAUAUUGGGCACUACGGUGGGCACCAUGGAUUCAGUAGUGAAUAAAGCAGACAGGGUGCGCCCUCGCGGAA